GAUGAACGCUAGCGACAGGCCUAACACAUGCAAGUCGAGGGGCAGCAUUGGGGUAGCAAUACCACAGAUGGCGACCGGCGCACGGGUGAGUAACACGUAUGCAACCUACCAGUAACAAGGGAAUAACCCGUUGAAAGACGGACUAAUACCCCAUAGCACAUCAUUACCGCAUGGUAAUAAUGUUAAAGAACUUCGGUUACCGAUGGGCAUGCGUUCCAUUAGGCAGUUGGUGAGGUAACGGCUCACCAAACCCACGAUGGAUAGGGGAACUGAGAGGUUGAUCCCCCACACUGGUACUGAGACACGGACCAGACUCCUACGGGAGGCAGCAGUGAGGAAUAUUGGUCAAUGGGCGAGAGCCUGAACCAGCCAAGUCGCGUGAAGGAAGACGGUUCUAUGGAUUGUAAACUUCUUUUGCAUGAGAGUAAAGUUCGGGACGCGUCCCGAUUUGCAAGUAUCAUGCGAAUAAGCAUCGGCUAACUCCGUGCCAGCAGCCGCAGUAAAAC
RNAcentral lists this ribosomal RNA (506 nucleotides) under uncultured bacterium. RNAcentral describes it as "bacterial SSU rRNA". It matches the Rfam family "Bacterial small subunit ribosomal RNA", at positions 28 to 526 of the family's 1533-position model. The record is from RNAcentral.